RNAcentral lists this ribosomal RNA (495 nucleotides) under uncultured bacterium. Its description in RNAcentral is "partial 16S ribosomal RNA". It matches the Rfam family "Bacterial small subunit ribosomal RNA", at positions 28 to 507 of the family's 1533-position model. The record is from RNAcentral.
GACGAACGCUGGCGGCGUGCCUAAUACAUGCAAGUAGAACGCUGAAGGAGGAGCUUGCUUCUCUGGAUGAGUUGCGAACGGGUGAGUAACGCGUAGGUAACCUGCCUGGUAGCGGGGGAUAACUAUUGGAAACGAUAGCUAAUACCGCAUAAGAGUAGAUGUUGCAUGACAUUUGCUUAAAAGUUGCAAUUGCAUCACUACCAGAUGGACCUGCGUUGUAUUAGCUAGUUGGUGAGGUAACGGCUCACCAAGGCAACGAUACAUAGCCGACCUGAGAGGGUGAUCGGCCACACUGGGACUGAGACACGGCCCAGAGUACUACGGGAGGCAGCAGUAGGGAAUCUUCGGCAAUGGACGGAAGUCUGACCGAGCAACGCCGCGUGAGAGAAGAAGGUUUUCGGAUCGUAAAGAUCGGUUGUAAGAGAAGAACGAGUGUGAGAGUGGAAAGUUCACACUGUGACGGUAUCUUACCAGAAAGGGACGGCUAACUACGUG